This 3497-nucleotide long non-coding RNA is filed under the name Homo sapiens (human). RNAcentral describes it as "HSALNT0291895". Lineage: Eukaryota; Metazoa; Chordata; Mammalia; Primates; Hominidae. The record is from RNAcentral.
GAGACUUCCUCCCCACAGUGAGCUAAAAGGACGCUUUUGUCAGAGUGGGGAAAUAAAAGGGCUUUAUGGGAAGGAAGAUAAGAACAGAUGAGUCAGAGGUUUCUGCUUAAUGGUGAGUAUUUUUGUCUUAAAAUGUGUGUUUUUCUUCUUUGGAGAAGGUACUGCACUCUUUUUGUGUUUUGAGCUGGAGACUUUCUUUGAUAUGACUGGGUUUUAAGCUAGUUGGUUACAAAUGAAUAUUUGGGGCUUUAGAAAAUAUUCUUUAUGUUUGGAUGGGAUCUCCUAAGUACAUAAAUAAAUUGUUUUAUUAUUAACCUAAGUUUCUCUUGGUGAAAUUUUCUGUGUGUUUGACUGGCCACAGUGUAAUUUGCUUAAUUUUUGAACACAGUAAGAUUUAUCUACAAAUUAGAGGUGUUGCAAAGUUGAUUUAGUUUGAUAAUGAUUAGUUUUCUUUGUUUUUAUGUGUGUACACAGUGCAUUGGGUUUAAUAAGCUUUUUAUUGGAGUAAAUCAUUCGUGCAGAAAAAUGCAUUAAUCAUAAGCAUAUAGCUUAAUGCGUCACCACAACUUGAACACAUUUGUGUAAACAUAACUGUCUUAGUCUGCUGGGGCUGCUAUAGCAAAAUGCCACAGACUGGGUGGCUUAAACAACAGACAUUUAUUUCUCACAAUUCUGGAGCCUGGGAAGUCCAAGAUCAAGGUGCUGGCGGGGUUGGGUUCUGGUGAGGGCUCUCUUCCUGGCUUGUAGAUGACUGCCUUCUCACUGUGUCUUCACAGUGUAGAGAGAGCAUGAGCAAGCUCUCUGGUCUCUUCUUAUAAGGGCACUAAUCCCAUCAUGAGGACCCUACCCUCAUCACCGCAUCUAAACCUAAUUUCUUCCCAACGACCCCGUCUCCUAAUCCCACCACAUUUGGGAUUAGGGACUCAGUGCAUGAAUUUGGGGGGCACACAACAUUUAGUUCAUAAUAAUAACCAUCCAGUAAAGAUGCCUCUCUUGUGCUACCUCCCAAUCCCAGCCCUCUGCCCUCCCCAAGGUGACCACUAGCUUAACUUCUAACCACAUAGAGUUUUGCCUGUUUUUGAAUUUCAUAUAGUUAGAAUUAUACAGUAUAUAUUCUUUUCUUUUUGAGAGAAGGUCUCACUCUGUCACCCAGGCUGGAGUGCAGUAGCACGAUCUCAGUUCACUGCAACCUCUGCUUCCCAGGGUCAAGCAAUCCUCUGAGCUCAGCCUCCUGAAUAGCUGGGACUACAGGCAUGUGCCACCAUGCCUGGCUAAUUUUUGUAUUGUUUGUAGGGAUGGGGUUUCACCAGGUGGUCCAGGCUGGUCUUUAACUCCUGGACUCAGAAAAUCCACCCACCUUGGCCUCCCAAAGGGUUGGAAUUACCAGCGUGAGCCGCCGUACCCGGCCUAUGUAUUGUUUUCAAUCUAUAAGGUUUAUCUGUGCUGUUAUGUAUAGUAGCAUGUUCAUUUCCAUUGUGGUAUACUAUUCCAUUGCAUGAAUAUAUAAUAAUUUAUCCAUUUUAGCUUUUCAGUUUCAAAUAAUGUGUAUCUUUUGGAGUAGACUAAGGUGACUUAAGUAGGAAAAGAAUGCAUAGCCAGUAACUCUCCCAACAGAAUUGGAUUCAUGCCUGGGGUGAUUCAGGAUGUCCGGUUAAGUUGAGAAAUACUGUACAUCUUGGAGUACAGUUACUGUCUCCUGGCAUAUGCAUAUCUUCACCUUUAGUAGAUAGCAUCGCAUGGUUUUAUAAAGUGGUUUUACCAAUUUAUGCUGCCACCAGCAAUGUGUGAGUUCAGCAAUGAUAAAAGUUAUUUACACCACAGAAAUUGGCAACUUUUACAAAUCAGAGUUUCUUUCUUAACCAGUUGUAAAAUAAUUACCAGCACACCACUGCCAAUGAGGUAGGAGGCAGGACUUGGACUCCGGACCAGAUUGAGACUAGCUGAAAGGGGAAGAGGCAAAAGCACCUCUCCAAAAGACAUGCUGACCAGUGCCAUGUCAGUUUACUAUUGCCAUGGCAACAACUGGAUACCACCCCUUUCUAUGGCAGUGACCCAACAACUGGGAAGUUACCACCCUUGUUCUAGAAAUUUUUGCAUAAUCCACCCCUAAUUUGCAUGUACUUAAAAGUGGGCAUAAACAUGACUGCCGAGCUGCCCUGAGCUGCUACUCUCUACACACUGCCUAUGGGGUAGCCCUGCUGUGCAGGAGCAGUCACAGAUCCCUAACACUACACUGCCUCCUCAAUAAAGCUGUUUUCUUGGCCGGCCACAGUGGCUCACACCUAUAAUCCCACCACUUUGGGAAGCCAAGGUGGGCAGAUCACUUGAGGUCAGGAGUUUGAGACCAGCCUGGCUAAUAUGGUGAAACUCUGUCUCUACUAAAAAUACAAAAAUUAGCCAGGCGUGGUGGUGUGCACCUGUAAUCCCAGCUACUCAGCAGGCUGAGGCAUGAGGAUUGCUUGAACCUGGGAGGCGGAGGUUGCAGUGAGCUGAGAUCGCACCAUUACACCCCAGCCUGGGCGACAGAGCGAGACUCCGUCUUAAAAAAAAAAAUCCUGUUUUCUUCUACCACCAGCUCACUCUUCAAUUCUUUCCCGAGCAAAACCAAGAAUCUUCUUGGGCUAAGCCCCAAUUUGGGGUUCACCUGCCUUGCAGCAACAUGGCACCAAACAUGCGGCAGAAGAGAGAAAACGACAGCAUGAGAGACGGAGAAAGAAAUGGCCAGUUGGCAAGGUGGUAAUGAGAGACAGCAGUUGGCAAGACAGUGAGAGACAGCAAGAGAUGGCAAGUGACAGUUAUUGUUAAGAUGACAAAUGGAGAGAUGGCAAGAAAUAGAGAAGCAGUCAGUGAUGGAGGCUGCAAGAGUUGUAACACUAACCAAAGGCUCUUUUUAGAAUCAUCGUUUUCCCUGGCAGGUGGUACAGCCAAGCAGACAGGCAAGUAAGUGGCCAUACUGCUACUGCCUCAUGUAGGAUCCGGCAGGCUGGUGGGUUAUCAGUCCUCACGUGGGACCCUCCCACCAUGGCAGCUGAGCACAUCCAAGCUGGGGGAUCCUGAAGAGACCUUCACCUGGGUGCCACGUGGAAGAUUGGCCAGCACCAUUUUGACUCCUGUGGAUGGCACCCAAACUGCACCUGGUCACCUGUCUACAUUCAGAUUUAGAUGAAAGCCACACCAUGGAGGCAGCCAGAGGCCCAUGGGAGAUGUCUGGAUUCGCAGAGGAAUAGCUCCAUGUGAUGCAAACCUUGACUAAUGGGAACAGGAAAAGGGAGGAAACCAGGAAGAUAAAUCUCCCUCCCUUCUCAUUGCUCCUUGCAACCCUUCCCACUUGAAGCAUGACCACAUUUAAUGAACAACCUGCUGUGUCUCUUGGAAGCUUGCUGCAAGGCAGCAAUCAGCACAAUAACAUUGUAUUGUAUCUUCCUCUGCUUCACUUCUCUUCCUCCCUCACCCUCACUGCCCUGAGCUGGCACAUCCCAAAGAAAGCAUUACCACAU